Long non-coding RNA from Exaiptasia diaphana, 611 nucleotides. RefSeq lists it as uncharacterized. NCBI's taxonomy places the organism in Eukaryota, Metazoa, Cnidaria, Anthozoa, Actiniaria, Aiptasiidae. The transcript is spliced from 3 exons. The record is from RefSeq and is a predicted model, not a curated record.
AAUAUGCAAAUAAAAAACUGGAUCACUGUAGGGAUCUGAUAUAUCAAAGGCACUCCUCGAUCACUAAGCUUCGUUUGGAAUGGCUCAGUUAAGUCUGAAAACUCAUUCUACUAUAAUACGAGUUUAGUUUCAUCGAGACCUCAUUGGAUGAUUUGACGCCUUCAUUUGGGUUCGGGCUUCCUGUGGUACAAACCCAAUUCAGCUGAGGUGGGUAUUCCUCCAGGCGUUUUCAAGCAUCUCUGUGAAAGAACACAAUAUUUUUUUAAUAUGGCUACAACGUUGAUGCAGCAAGAUAUCAACGACAUUGACUAUGAACAACCUCUACGUUUGGAGUUUAAAAGAAUCGAUGGUCCUUGGUCGUGGUUAUUAUGUUUCUUGUUCUUCCUUUGUAACGUGUUGGCCUACGGUUUCAUUGCCACUUAUGGGAUUCUAUUCCCUAACAUUUUAAAAGACUUUAGCUCUGGGAGAGCUAUUACUGCCAUCCCAGGCUCCGUUGGUAUUGCCUCUGCCUCCUUAUAUGGCAUAGUGAUUGGCAAACUAUGCGAUCGUUACGGAUGUCGUAAAGCAAUGCUGAUUGGUGGAGUAUGCUGUGCUGUUGGACUAGUCGUGUC